RNAcentral lists this ribosomal RNA (460 nucleotides) under uncultured bacterium. Its description in RNAcentral is "partial 16S ribosomal RNA". It matches the Rfam family "Bacterial small subunit ribosomal RNA", at positions 338 to 795 of the family's 1533-position model. The record is from RNAcentral.
CCUACGGGUGACAGCAGUGAGGAAUAUUGGUCAAUGGACGAGAGUCUGAACCAGCCAAGUAGCGUGAAGGAUGACUGCCCUAUGGGUUGUAAACUUCUUUUAUAUGGGAAUAAAAUGUUCCACGUGUGGGAUUUUGUAUGUACCAUAUGAAUAAGGAUCGGCUAACUCCGUGCCAGCAGCCGCGGUAAUACGGAGGAUCCGAGCGUUAUCCGGAUUUAUUGGGUUUAAAAGGAGCGUAGGUGGAUUGUUAAGUCAGUUGUGAAAGUUUGCGGCUCAACCGUAAAAUUGCAGUUGAAACUGGCAGUCUUGAGUACAGUAGAGGUGGGCGGAAUUCGUGGUGUAGCGGUGAAAUGCUUAGAUAUCACGAAGAACUCCGAUUGCGAAGGCAGUUCACUGGACUGCAACUGACACUGAGGCUCGAAAGUGUGGGUAUCAAACAGGAUUAGAUACCCCUGUAGUC